RNAcentral lists this long non-coding RNA (244 nucleotides) under Elaeis guineensis (African oil palm). RNAcentral describes it as "long non-coding RNA (EGUI_LNC059653)". The record is from RNAcentral. Lineage: Eukaryota; Viridiplantae; Streptophyta; Magnoliopsida; Arecales; Arecaceae.
GUAUAGUCCUUAAACUUAUUCACGAUCAAACGAUACGAUAUUACUAGGACGAUAGCGAUUAUCAAGUAUAGGUCAUUGUGUGCCAUAUGCAUUGGUUGUCCUCAUAAUCAAGUGGUGUGGAGACACUGAUAUGGCAUACAAAUAAGAUGUAGGAGUAUAUCUCAUUGAAUGUGAUCAAUUACGGAGUACUCUACUGUCAAGAGUAGCUCGUGAAGGGUAUGGGUAUAAGUAUCCCUUUGACCUA